GGCCGCAUGCCAUAGGAUGAGCCCAAGUGGGAUUAGGUAGUUGGUGGGGUAAAUGCCUACCAAGCCUGCGAUCUCUAGCUGGUCUGAGAGGAUGACCAGCCACACUGGAACUGAGACACGGUCCAGACUCCUACGGGAGGCAGCAGUGGGGAAUAUUGCGCAAUGGGGGGAACCCUGACGCAGCCAUGCCGCGUGAAUGAAGAAGGCCUUCGGGUUGUAAAGUUCUUUCGGUAUUGAGGAAGGUUGAUGUGUUAAUAGCACAUCAAAUUGACGUUAAAUACAGAAGAAGCACCGGCUAACUCCGUGCCAGCAGCCGCGGUAAUACGGAGGGUGCGAGCGUUAAUCGGAAUAACUGGGCGUAAAGGGCACGCAGGCGGUUAUUUAAGUGAGGUGUGAAAGCCCUGGGCUUAACCUAGGAAUUGCAUUUCAGACUGGGUAACUAGAGUACUUUAGGGAGGGGUAGAAUUCCACGUGUAGCGGUGAAAUGCGUAGAGAUGUGGAGGAAUACCGAAGGCGAAGGCAGCCCCUUGGGAAUGUACUGACGCUCAUGUGCGAAAGCGUGGGGAGCAAACAGGAUUAGAUACCCU
RNAcentral lists this ribosomal RNA (587 nucleotides) under Haemophilus influenzae. Its description in RNAcentral is "bacterial SSU rRNA". It matches the Rfam family "Bacterial small subunit ribosomal RNA", at positions 209 to 788 of the family's 1533-position model. The record is from RNAcentral. Lineage: Bacteria; Pseudomonadati; Pseudomonadota; Gammaproteobacteria; Pasteurellales; Pasteurellaceae.